Neopsephotus bourkii (Bourke's parrot) is the source of this 954-nucleotide long non-coding RNA. RefSeq lists it as uncharacterized. The record is from RefSeq and is a predicted model, not a curated record. The transcript has 2 exons. NCBI's taxonomy places the organism in Eukaryota, Metazoa, Chordata, Aves, Psittaciformes, Psittacidae.
UGGUUGGAGAGGAGACUUUGGGUAUCUUUAGCUGCUGGUUCAUCAUCCCUUGUGGAGUAGCUGUGCUUUUGUCGUCUCCUGAUGUCUGGGGAUGUCAACUAACAUUCCCACUGGCAAUGCCUGGACACAAUCCAGGAGAUGACAAACACAAAGCAUGUCAUAUGCUCCUUGAGGACAUGUUUCAGCUUGAUGGCUGAGCAAAGGGGCUGUAGCGAGAGCUGCCUCUUGGGAAUGGGCAUCACUAUCCCGUUACCUCUCAUACCAAAAGUAUGGGUUCUGGGAAUACAGAGUUUGCAGUUCAGAUGUGGCUGGUGAGAUCACUUCCCUUGCCUUCAGUUUUCACAGUAUUUUCCUGAUGGCAUCUCACACCAACUUGUGCUGUAGCUUCCUAGAUAAAUUCAUGCUCAAUCCUAUCUCUGCAAUUUCCAUAUCAUGUUUAUUCAGAAUGAGUUGUUUUUGCUUCACUCAGCCCUGCGGGGUUAACCUGUCUUAUGAAAUUCAAAUGUCCUCCUCUUGCUUUCUGUCUUGUAACACUUCUCUCUCUUCCUCCUACCUCUUUGUUGGCUCUAUGGGCUGUGUUAAGCUUGCAGGAGGUACCAGAGGGUUGAGAGGGAGACUUGCCACCUUAGCCAGCUUCAGAGCCACCUCCAAUCCCUUCAUAUGGGUUGUGUUCUUUCAUAUUGUGCGGUACUUUCAGCUGUGAUGUUCAUGCUCAAAUGCUUAUCAUUGCAGAACCUUUGCUCUAGUUCCAGUCUGAGGAAUAAUAUACCAGUGGGCCAAAGAUCUAAUACAAAAAGCAUUAAGAAGAUAGGAAUUUCUCCAUCAGCUCAGCAAUUUUCAGAGUUGUGCCAAAGGAAGCUUCCUAUUUUAGGGAAUAUUUUAUCUCUCUGUUAAAGCCUAAUGCGUUGAACUGUUAAACAGGGUUUUGCUAUCGCAAAAUAAAAUGGUAAUGAC